This 492-nucleotide ribosomal RNA is filed under the name uncultured bacterium. RNAcentral's name for it is "partial 16S ribosomal RNA". It matches the Rfam family "Bacterial small subunit ribosomal RNA", at positions 29 to 507 of the family's 1533-position model. The record is from RNAcentral.
AGUGAACGCUGGCGGUAGGCCUAACACAUGCAAGUCGAACGGCAGCACAGUAAGAGCUUGCUCUUACGGGUGGCGAGUGGGGGACGGGUGAGGAAUACAUCGGAAUCUACUUUUUCGUGGGGGAUAACGUAGGGAAACUUACGCUAAUACCGCAUAUGACCUACGGGUGAAAGCAGGGGAUCGUCGGACCUUGCGCGAUUGAAUGAGCCGAUGCCGGAUUAGCUAGUGGGCGGGGUAAAGGCCAACCAAGGCGGCGAUCCGUAGCUGGUCUGAGUGGAUGGUCGGCCGCCCUGGAACUGGGCCACGCACCAUGCUCCUACGAGACGCACCAGUCGGGAAUGUUGGGCAAUGGGCGCAAGCCUGGUCCAGCCAUACCGCGUCUGUGACGAAGGCGUUCCGUUUGUAAAGCCGUUUUGUUGGGAAAGAAACGCUUCAGGUUAAUACCCCGCUGUUCUGACGGUACCCAAAGAAUAAGCACCGGCUAACUUCGUG